UAAGGAAUAUUGGUCAAUGGGCGCAAGCCUGAACCAGCCAUGCCGCGUGCAGGAAGACGGCCCUACGGGUUGUAAACUGCUUUUAUACCGGAAUAAACCUUGAUACGUGUAUCGAGCUGAAUGUACGGUAAGAAUAAGGAUCGGCUAACUCCGUGCCAGCAGCCGCGGUAAUACGGAGGAUCCAAGCGUUAUCCGGAUUUAUUGGGUUUAAAGGGUGCGUAGGUGGCCUGUUAAGUCAGGGGUGAAAGACGGUAGCUUAACUAUCGCAGUGCCUUUGAUACUGACGGGCUUGAAUACACUAGAGGUAGGCGGAAUGUGACAAGUAGCGGUGAAAUGCAUAGAUAUGUCACAGAACACCAAUUGCGAAGGCAGCUUACUAUGGUGUCAUUGACACUGAGGCACGAAAGCGUGGGGAUCAAACA
RNAcentral lists this ribosomal RNA (422 nucleotides) under uncultured Mucilaginibacter sp. RNAcentral's name for it is "bacterial SSU rRNA". It matches the Rfam family "Bacterial small subunit ribosomal RNA", at positions 355 to 774 of the family's 1533-position model. Lineage: Bacteria; Pseudomonadati; Bacteroidota; Sphingobacteriia; Sphingobacteriales; Sphingobacteriaceae. The record is from RNAcentral.